AAAGUACUGAAACAAAAACUGGACACAUCCAUUCCCUUUUUACUAAAUAUAUCGUUCCCUAUUUUGAAUAGCGUACUGUUAAAUCCAGUAUUUCCAAAUGUCAAUCUUAAGGAGUUGCCUUAAGGACCUUACGUUUUCAUCUUAUACCAAAGAAAUUUGUAUUCUUCGAAUUUCCGCUUUGAUUUGAAGUUAUUGAAAUAUUAAUAAAUUCAAAGACAGUAUAGAGGUUUGGUUCGACAUUUUGUGAAACAAUUCUUCGUUUUUUGUACAGAGUUAAAUGAGAAGAUGACCCCACUCUCCUUUUCACAUGAUAGCUAUAAAGCUGUGUCCAACAGCUGCUAGCUUAGCUUAGCCUAGCUUAGCAUAAAGACUGAAAACAAGUGGAAAACAGCUAGCCUAGCUCAGUCUGAAGGUAACAAAGUCUAAACCUCGUUACGUAGCAUAGUGUAACCAUGGACAUCAGAACUUCAGCUGAACAUUAUUUGGACACCAUGCAAUAGAGGAUGAACAUGUGUGGUGAGCAGAAACGUGACACCGUGUGAUUGUGUGACUCCUCCACUUGCCCCGUUGUUGACCACACCCGGCCAGUUGGCAGCCAGAGGAGAAAAUCUGAGCUUCCAUCUUACUCAGUGAGCUCAAAUUUAAUCUCCAGGAGUCUGUAGCUGUGCUCACUGGAGGCGGGUAUCUGUGUCGGUGGAGUUUGCCCUGGUUGGACAUGUGUCUCUGGGUGGAGCGAGAUGGACGAGCGAAGCAGAAGGUCAAGGUGCUGCUGGUGCUGUCAUCGUAGUUCCUGUCCUGAUUAUAAGACAGAGAAACAUACUUUUGAGAGGUAGAUUAAAGAAAUUUAGUAUUUCAAUAGAAUACCAGAUUGUGUUGCUGUUGUGAUUUUCUUUUGACUGAAUCAAUUCAGCCCUGGAGCUCAUGUCCAGUUUUAAAUGAGUCUAAAUGAUUGUGUGUACCCAGAAAUGGUGACUAUCAGAACCAUAUUAAAGGUGACAGGUGGCGAACAGGUUAUGCACCCUAACAGCUGACUUUGUGACUGUGAUAUACAGAAGUCAGUGAUUGAAUUGGUGGUUGGUGGUCAAA
This is a long non-coding RNA of Monopterus albus (swamp eel), 1086 nucleotides long. RefSeq lists it as uncharacterized. NCBI's taxonomy places the organism in Eukaryota, Metazoa, Chordata, Actinopteri, Synbranchiformes, Synbranchidae. The transcript has 3 exons. The record is from RefSeq and is a predicted model, not a curated record.